CCUACGGGCGGCAGCAGUGGGGAAUAUUGCACAAUGGGGGAAACCCUGAUGCAGCGACGCCGCGUGAAGGAAGAAGUAUUUCGGUAUGUAAACUUCUAUCAGCAGGGAAGAAAAUGACGGGACCUGACUAAGAAGCCCCGGCUUACGACGUGGAAGCAGCCGCGGUAAUACGUAGGGGGCAAGCGUUAUCCGGAUUUACUGGGUGUAAAGGGAGCGUAGGCGGCGAUGCAAGUCAGAAGUGAAAGCCCGGGGCUCAACUCCGGGACUGCUUUUGAAACUGUAUGGCUAGAUUGCAGGAGAGGCAAGUGGAAUUCCUAGUGUAGCGGUGAUAUGCGUAGAUAUUAGGCGGCACACCAGUGGCGAAGGCGGCUUGCUGGACUGUAAAUGACGCUGAGGCUCGAAAGCGUGGGGAGCAAACAGGAUUAGAUACCCUGGUAGUC
RNAcentral lists this ribosomal RNA (440 nucleotides) under uncultured bacterium. Its description in RNAcentral is "partial 16S ribosomal RNA". It matches the Rfam family "Bacterial small subunit ribosomal RNA", at positions 338 to 795 of the family's 1533-position model. The record is from RNAcentral.